GCCUACUUUUGAAAGCAAAAAUGUAGUAAAAAGUCCCAGUCAUUAUAGAAGGGGACAAACUACAACUUCAGCCCAGCCAAGUUGGAAGACCUCUUGUUCAAUAGAACGUUCUGGAUGAGGUGCCUCUAUCUGGAGGUUUUGUGCCCACUCCAGAGCCAGACCAGGAGAAAGUUAUAGGUGAUGUUCUUUGUACCACAGUAUAUCCUUGUUUGUUACUAGAUGAAUCAACUGCUGAUGACAAGUGCUGCUUGCUUCUUUGUAGGAUUUUCUCUGAGAUUUUCCUGUGUUCUUGCUACAGGUACAAAGGUAUGCUUCUCCUGUGCAAUUGCAUUUAAAGGUAUGCUGUAUCAUGGCACCAUAAUCCUACUGAUUCUCUAUUUGUCAGUAUAGUUUUUCAUGGAAAAGUAGCUAAGGAUACUACUUUGUUCAGAGAGCACAAGUCCAGAAAGCCUGAAGCAAAUACCAGAAGUAACCAGUGCCCAACAGAGAAACCAAAGAGACCCAGUCUGCUUGUAGGAAAGUCAUAUUUCAGCUCUUGUGUUUAUGAAUCUGCUGUUUCCACCACUGUACUUGGCACUGCUGCCUCCUAUUGUGAAUGCUGCUGCAAAUGCUAGGCACUCUCAGCACUAUGUGUUUUCCUUUACAGCAAGAUCUGCACAACACUUUUGCAGUCAGGUCUUCCCUGUGGAUCCUGCAGAGCUGCCUUAUGCUGGGGCUCAGACAAGUGACAAUAAAGAUGCCACCCAGGAGGUUUAUCAUGUGAUGUGAAAGCAGCAGGAUAAGCAUGAUGCCUCAUCCUGGAGAGUACAAGCAGCAUCUUGGGAGAGUAUGUAUUACUUCUCACCUUUGGCAGACUGAACUCUGGGUGAGUUCAUGCUUGAUUUCCUGCUUCAGGGGUGGGCUUGUUGAUAUUACAUGCAGUCUCACCAUACCCCACUAGAGGGAUGACUGAAAGAACAUCAGUCGGUAUGUUUGAAAGCAGGAGCAGGACUUGCAAAAUAAAAGCCCUGCUGUAUGGCACAUCCCUUAUCAGCAAAGGGUGGGAAAUGAGAGGAAUCAAAGAAAAAUCAAAGUUGUGCCUUUUUUUUUUUCUUUUCAUUAUAAACAGCGGAGGUAAUUCCACACCAAGUCUGAUCUUUUGUUUUCCGUAGGAAGUAAGGAGGCAAGGCAGGUGAGCACGGGUUAGGCAUACUUGUUUGUAGUAAAGCAAAGAGGGAUAGGUGAUUCCAAUGCAUUGUCGGCAUCUCUCUCGGUUCUUACUCAUUUGCAGAUUGUCAGGCAGACAGGACCUUAACUGACUUUGAAUCUUGGGUGUGCCCAAGCACACAGCUGCAUUUCAAAAUGCACAGUGGCAGAAACCUGGCAUUCAAGCCCGUCCACUCUAUUACACUUACAGCUUGGCAAACACUGCUGUUACUGAUUCAGAGCUCACCAAAAGAGGUUCUGCUUUCUCAAGCCAUGGAAGUCCUCAAGAAAGGCCUAGCAAAUUGUAGAGUCCUGGCAGCAAGCUUACAUCCUAUGGUGUGUUUCUUAGCCAUUUGCAUGCUAUGUCCCACAGCUGUCAGGUGGCUGGUAAACAAGAAAUGACCCUCCUUAAUUUUGAAAGUAUGUCUCAGAAUUGUCUGUGGUGUGCUGGAGAGCUGCGGGUGGGCUUUCCUACUGCAUGCUGGUUGCAUCCUGUCACAUACUAUGCUUGCUGCUCAUGCCUGUACCUUCCACAGGAUGGAGCUGGUCUCUUGUG
RNAcentral lists this long non-coding RNA (1741 nucleotides) under Gallus gallus (chicken). Its description in RNAcentral is "long non-coding RNA NONGGAT005222". Lineage: Eukaryota; Metazoa; Chordata; Aves; Galliformes; Phasianidae. The record is from RNAcentral.